UCCCACUCGCUGCUCCAAAGAAGGUAAUUUCUUUCCAUUUUAAUUUCGUCGCUUAGUUUCUUACCUUAUAAUUGGAUCAUUAUAGGUUGUUUGAAUUGAUUGCUCGUUGUGAUUUUAUCUUGAUACUAAAUGAUGUUAUUGGACUCAUGAGACGAGUUUCUACUUUGGGCUGGCUGACCAACAUUUUGUAUUACCUUGCUUGAACAUUCUGUUGGAUAGUUGUAUUGAUCGAGUACGCUAUAGUUCUUGUUCAUACUAUUGCCAAUUUGAGUUACUGGUUGUUCGCUGCAAAGAGAGUUCAGAUUGAGUUGUGUCGUGGAUCCAUAGUUUCGUCUAAUUUUUAUGCUCGUAUAAGGUUCUGCCUGUCCAUGUUCAACAUGACAUGUUCUAUUUUAAAAUCUAGGUCCAGCUUUUGGAUAACCCAUUAGGUUCUUUGAUGGAGUUCAAGCAAGAAAAUCAUAAUCUGGGUGUUUCGACAUGUUUUGUUAGGGACGGUUUGGCUUUAUAUUGUUUAGCUUUAGCCUUUAGCUUGGUAUCUUUUAAACAAAUUGUAGCUAAUGUAAUAAAAAUUGCUUUGAGUUUCGGUUUAUGUUAUUUGGUCGUAUGAACUCUUAUCAAUCCUAGCAUUUGUGCUCAUUAAUUUUUUAGUAUUCCGGUAGCUUGUGAAUAUAUUAAGUAUGAAUGUAUAGUCAUUCAUUUAUCAUGAUUUUCUCAUAGUUUGCCUCAGUAACCAUCAGGAGUAAUACCGUUCCUUUGUUUGCUUAGAUAUGAAUACAACCUUUCCUCAAUUUUUGUAAACCGAUGCAAUACAAAUUCCAAAAAUGAUAAAAAUGAUCAUGAUUUAAUACAAUAUCUAGAGUUUCAUUUAUUUAUUUUUCGAGAAGAGUAGUUGUGGUAUCUCUUUUAGUAGAAAGAGUAACUUUGUAAAAUCUGAAAACAGUAGCAUAGUAUUCCCUGUAGCAUGUCCUCCGAUAAAUGAAUUUGAUGAAUUCUUUAAGUGGGAUUAUCUUUCUUAUUAACUUGUCAUUUGUGUGUCCUCAAGGAGUUAUAUGACUUGUUUUCAUUUGUUUGUAGCUUGUCAAAAUUGAUCAUAUUUUGUAGUUUCUAUCUCCCAGUUGGUUAGCUUAGGAUCAUUUAAGUUAAGUUCAAUAUUUUGUUGUAAAUGGUGCUCAAUUGUUUCUUCUUUUAUUUUCGAGUUAUUCUACUAAUUUUCUCCCUUUCUUUUGUUACAUAUGACAUCAACU
RNAcentral lists this long non-coding RNA (1244 nucleotides) under Solanum tuberosum (potato). Its description in RNAcentral is "long non-coding RNA (STUB_LNC006415)". The record is from RNAcentral. Lineage: Eukaryota; Viridiplantae; Streptophyta; Magnoliopsida; Solanales; Solanaceae.